RNAcentral lists this unclassified non-coding RNA (402 nucleotides) under Hevea brasiliensis (rubber tree). The record is from RNAcentral. Lineage: Eukaryota; Viridiplantae; Streptophyta; Magnoliopsida; Malpighiales; Euphorbiaceae.
AUCCCGCUUGACAAAAUUACAGGUGAAUCUAGCCAUUUUGAGUACUGAUAUUUUUUAGCUGACGUAUGCCAAAUCUUGCCACAUUGUCUGCUAAGUUUUUGUUGCAACUUGAGAUCGAUGAAGUUUUCUUUCUCAAUUAUAGGUAACCUCUAGAUGUGUUGGCUUUUACAGAGAUUCAUUUAACAAUGUAGAAUAUUGUAUAUAGUAAUGCUCUAAACAUUAUCUAUAUAUGCUGUAUCCAAAGACUGAUGAAGUCUUUUGUCUGUGUUUUAUUAUCUUGAGUACAUCUUAAAGUUUCUUUCAUGUGUCUAUUCUUUUUCUUCAUCUUCCCUUCUCCUGGAUGCAAUUCACAAAGAUACUACUUCUAAUGUCAUCCUGCAGGUAGUUCGGCAUUUUUGGGAA